RNAcentral lists this ribosomal RNA (877 nucleotides) under Bacillus sp. (in: firmicutes). Its description in RNAcentral is "bacterial SSU rRNA". It matches the Rfam family "Bacterial small subunit ribosomal RNA", at positions 56 to 914 of the family's 1533-position model. The record is from RNAcentral. Lineage: Bacteria; Bacillati; Bacillota; Bacilli; Caryophanales; Bacillaceae.
UGCAAGUCGAGCGGACAGAUGGGAGCUUGCUCCCUGAUGUUAGCGGCGGACGGGUGAGUAACACGUGGGUAACCUGCCUGUAAGACUGGGAUAACUCCGGGAAACCGGGGCUAAUACCGGAUGCUUGUUUGAACCGCAUGGUUCAAACAUAAAAGGUGGCUUCGGCUACCACUUACAGAUGGACCCGCGGCGCAUUAGCUAGUUGGUGAGGUAACGGCUCACCAAGGCAACGAUGCGUAGCCGACCUGAGAGGGUGAUCGGCCACACUGGGACUGAGACACGGCCCAGACUCCUACGGGAGGCAGCAGUAGGGAAUCUUCCGCAAUGGACGAAAGUCUGACGGAGCAACGCCGCGUGAGUGAUGAAGGUUUUCGGAUCGUAAAGCUCUGUUGUUAGGGAAGAACAAGUACCGUUCAAAUAGGGCGGUACCUUGACGGUACCUAACCAGAAAGCCACGGCUAACUACGUGCCAGCAGCCGCGGUAAUACGUAGGUGGCAAGCGUUGUCCGGAAUUAUUGGGCGUAAAGGGCUCGCAGGCGGUUCCUUAAGUCUGAUGUGAAAGCCCCCGGCUCAACCGGGGAGGGUCAUUGGAAACUGGGGAACUUGAGUGCAGAAGAGGAGAGUGGAAUUCCACGUGUAGCGGUGAAAUGCGUAGAGAUGUGGAGGAACACCAGUGGCGAAGGCGACUCUCUGGUCUGUAACUGACGCUGAGGAGCGAAAGCGUGGGGAGCGAACAGGAUUAGAUACCCUGGUAGUCCACGCCGUAAACGAUGAGUGCUAAGUGUUAGGGGGUUUCCGCCCCUUAGUGCUGCAGCUAACGCAUUAAGCACUCCGCCUGGGGAGUACGGUCGCAAGACUGAAACUCAAAGGAAUUGAC